GCGGGUGUGGCGGAAAUGGCAGACGCGCAGGACUUAGGAUCCUGUGGGCGACCGCCCUUGUGGGUUCAAAUCCCACCGCCCGCACCA
Molecule: transfer RNA, 87 nt
Filed under: Bacillota bacterium
Lineage: Bacteria; Bacillati; Bacillota
Description: tRNA-Leu
Rfam family: tRNA
About the family: Transfer RNA (tRNA) molecules are approximately 80 nucleotides in length.
Source: RNAcentral